Molecule: long non-coding RNA, 1489 nt
Organism: Helianthus annuus (common sunflower)
Lineage: Eukaryota; Viridiplantae; Streptophyta; Magnoliopsida; Asterales; Asteraceae
Exons: 2
Source: RefSeq, a predicted model, not a curated record
AAGGAGGAGGGCGACCCCCACUCUCAAAACCCUAGCAACUCACUAAUCUCACAAAUUGAAGGCUCAAACCAAGUUAAAAUCGAAAAUCGAGCAUAGAUUAUUGAUCCCCAUUGCAAGGGGGUUGUAAGUUUGACUCUGACAAGCUAGGUAGGAGCUUGGAAAUGAACGGGUCAAAUGGAUACAAGUUCAAGUAUGAAGCUCGCAAGGAUGCAAGGUAAGUAUAACUUACACUAGUCAUAUAUUUUAGAAUGUUCUUUUGUCGUAUUGACUACGAAUAAGACAAAUGGUAAUUUAGUCACACGUUGACAAUAAUCGUUAGUUUUAAAAGACGCUUUCCCGCGUAAGACAUAAAGAGCCGAGAGUGGUAAUAAACGGUUUAUAAAUAAAAUGAGCAUACGGUGUUAAAAGGAGCGAGUCAUGUAGAUGAGAUGAUAAUAAAUAUUAUCUCGCAAAGAUAAACGGUCAAUUCGGCCAAACGGGUCAAAAGGUGUAGACAUCACCUUUUGACAAUAUCGACUAAUGAUUCUGGUGUCGAGUUAUAUGUUUACAGGAGUAGAUAUCCAAUGGAUACUCGCAUCGCUCUUAAUUAGCAAUUAUAAAGCAAGGUAUUAAACCGGGUUAGUAAGUUGAUCCGAGCCAGGUAUGUAUAAUAGAUUAACUCAUCAUGUAGAACUUGAAGUUCUAUGAAAGUUAGGCAAAAUAAAAAAAAGGGCAUUCGGUUACCUUAAUAGGUAAACCGAAGAAUUUAAAUUAUAGACAGAAUGUUUUGAAAACAAGAUUUGGUUAAAAAUGAGAAAUUAGAAUCAAACAACAGGUUUGUUUGAUAAAAUCACGAACGGGUCAAAUUUGGUAAAAAGGGGUAAUAAGCCGAAGACUUAAAAGUCUUAAAUUUUGUUAAUCCAGAUGUUGGGUCUUGACUUCAUUUGAUGGAGGUUCAAUUUACAAUCACGUAGGAAGAAACGGUAGGUCAAACGGACAAGCGGAUUAAAAGUUAUGAAGGUUUCCGUUUUAGAAAUCGGCAAACUUGGAAAAUCUUGCAGAGGCCACCGUAAGUUACGGUAGCUACCGUAACUUACGGUAGCCUUAAAAAUCUUUACGCCUUAAACCCACUGAGUUACGGUGGAAGAAUCAACAUUCAGGGGCUACCGUAAAUUACGGUAGCCACCGUAAUUUACGGUAGACCCUGUAACAAAAUUUAUUAUAAUCAGUUUCGUUUCCCAGAACUCGUUAGACACGUUUAUAACCCCCGUAAGACUAAAGAAUUUUUUUGUUUAUGAAAUGUAGGUACACUUUGGAUGCCGGAAGACGAUCAAGCUCAUUGGAGAACCGAACACGAUAAAGAUACAUGCUUCCGCACAGUGUCCCGUCGUAAAUUUUAAACGACGAAUUCAAUUACGUUAUGUCGAAUAACUUAUGAUUUGUAAAAGUUUUAAUAAACCCAUAUUUUUAUAGUAUGUGUAGUCUUAUCUACACAACUAAUUGUUGGUAA